AUGCGGUGGGCGGGGUGCUAUACAUGCAAGUCGAGCGAACGGAUAAGGAGCUUGCUCCUUUGAAGUUAGCGGCGGACGGGUGAGUAACACGUGGGUAACCUACCUAUAAGACUGGAAUAACUUCGGGAAACCGGAGCUAAUGCCGGAUAACAUUUGGAACCGCAUGGUUCUAAAGUAAAAGAUGGUUUUGCUAUCACUUAUAGAUGGACCCGCGCCGUAUUAGCUAGUUGGUAAGGUAACGGCUUACCAAGGCAACGAUACGUAUCCGACCUGAGAGGGUGAUCGGCCACACUGGAACUGAGACACGGUCCAGACUCCUACGGGAGGCAGCAGUAGGGAAUCUUCCGCAAUGGACGAAAGUCUGACGGAGCAACGCCGCGUGAGUGAUGAAGGUUUUCGGAUCGUAAAACUCUGUUAUUAGGGAAGAACAAAUGUGUAAGUAACUGUGCACAUCUUGACGGUACCUAAUCAGAAAGCCACGGCUAACUACGUGCCAGCAGCCGCGGUAAUACGUAGGUGGCAAGCGUUAUCCGGAAUUAUUGGGCGUAAAGCGCGCGUAGGCGGGUUCUUAAGUCUGAUGUGAAAGCCCACGGCUCAACCGUGGAGGGUCAUUGGAGACUGGGAUACUUGAGUACAGAAGAGGAUAGUGGAAUUCCAUGUGUAGCGCUGAUAUGCGCAGAGAUAUGGAGGGAACACCACUGGCGAAGGCGACUUUCUGGUCUGUAACUGACGCUGAUGUGCGACAGCGUGGGGAUCAAACAGGAUUAUAUACCCUGGUAGUGCACGCCCUAAACGAUGAGUGCUAAGCCGUUAGGUGGGGGUACUCCCCUCUACUGCUGCGAGCUAACGCAUUAAACACUCCGCCCUGGGGAGGACGACCGCGAGGUUGGAGACUCUCAGGAAUUGACGGGGACCAGCCACAAGCCGUGGGUAUAGCGUUUUUAAUUCUAUGAACGCUGACGAGCCUUACCAAAUCUUGGGCGUUGCGUUUGUGAUACUC
This 1000-nucleotide ribosomal RNA is filed under the name Staphylococcus sp. Its description in RNAcentral is "bacterial SSU rRNA". It matches the Rfam family "Bacterial small subunit ribosomal RNA", at positions 33 to 1003 of the family's 1533-position model. The record is from RNAcentral. Lineage: Bacteria; Bacillati; Bacillota; Bacilli; Caryophanales; Staphylococcaceae.